Molecule: ribosomal RNA, 906 nt
Filed under: Actinotignum timonense
Lineage: Bacteria; Bacillati; Actinomycetota; Actinomycetes; Actinomycetales; Actinomycetaceae
Description: bacterial LSU rRNA
Rfam family: Bacterial large subunit ribosomal RNA
Source: RNAcentral
UGGUGUGGGUGGCGUGGGGUCCUAAGUGUGGGAGGCAAGCGUGUUAACAGGUGUGACGCAGGGAGGUAGCUUCGCGUGCCUAAUGGCUUGGCGCGUUUAAGGGUGUGGCCCGUCCUCUAGGUAAAUCCGGGGGACAUGUAAGGGUGAGGCCUGAUGGUGACCGUUUUUAUAGCGGGAAGUAGGGUGAUCCUGUACUGCCGAGAAAAGCAUCGACGUGAGUGGUAAGACCGCCCGUACCCGAAACCGACACUGGUAGUUGGGUAGAGCAUACUAAGGCGUGCGAGUGAAUCGUGGUUAAGGAACUCGGCAAAAUGCCCCCGUAACUUUGGGAGAAGGGGGGCCCACUCUUUACACGCCCCGUGUCUGGGUGUUGUGGGGGGUUGGGUCGCAGAGUCUAGGGAGAAGCGACUGUUUAUCAAAAACACAGGUCCGUGCGAAGCUGUAAGGCGAUGUAUACGGACUGACGCCUGCCCGGUGCUGGAAGGUUAAGCGGACUGGUUAGCCCCUUUUUUGGGGGCGAGGCUGGGAAGUUAAGCCCCAGUAAACGGCGGUGGUAACUAUAACCAUCCUAAGGUAGCGAAAUUCCUUGUCGGGUAAGUUCCGACCUGCACGAAUGGCGUAACGACUUCUCUACUGUCUCGACCACGAGCUCGGUGAAAUUGCAUUACGAGUAAAGAUGCUCGUUUCGCGCAGCAGGACGGAAAGACCCCGGGACCUUUACUAUAGCUUGGUAUUGGUGUUCGGUACGGUUUGUGUAGGAUAGGUGGGAGACUGUGAGAUACAGACGCUAGUUUGUGUGGAGUCGUUGUUGAAAUACCACUCUGGUCGUAUUGCAUGUCUAACUUUGGUCCGUGAUCCGGGCUAAGGACAGUGCCUGGUGGGUAGUUUAACUGGGGCGGUUGCCUC